RNAcentral lists this ribosomal RNA (417 nucleotides) under uncultured bacterium. RNAcentral's name for it is "bacterial SSU rRNA". It matches the Rfam family "Bacterial small subunit ribosomal RNA", at positions 355 to 776 of the family's 1533-position model. The record is from RNAcentral.
UGGGGAAUAUUGCACAAUGGGCGGAAGCCUGAUGCAGCGACGCCGCGUGAGGGAUGACGGCCUUCGGGUUGUAAACCUCUUUCAGUACAGAACAAGGCUCUUUCGGGGGUUGAGGGUAUGUGCAGAAGAAGCGCCGGCUAACUACGUGCCAGCAGCCGCGGUAAUACGUAGGGCGCAAGCGUUGUCCGGAAUUAUUGGGCGUAAAGAGCUCGUAGGCGGUUUGUCGCGUCUGCCGUGAAAUCCUGGGGCUUAACUCUGGGCGUGCGGUGGGUACGGGCAGACUAGAGUGCGGUAGGGGAGACUGGAAUUCCUGGUGUAGCGGUGGAAUGCGCAGAUAUCAGGAGGAACACCGGUGGCGAAGGCGGGUCUCUGGGCCGUUACUGACGCUGAGGAGCGAAAGCAUGGGGAGCGAACAGG